AGAGUUUGAUCCUGGCUCAGGAUGAACGUUGGCGGUGUGCCUAAUACAUGCAAGUCGAACGGUGACGAUUUUGUAGCAAUACGAAUGAAAUCAUAGUGGCGAACGGGUGAGUAACGCGUUGGUGAUCUGCCUCGAAGUGUGGAAUAACUUCCCGAAAGGGUAGCUAAUACCGCAUAGUCUCUCAAGGUUUAGAAAAUUGAGAGUAAAGGAUUUAUUCGCUUCGAGAGGAGCCUGCGUCCCAUCAGCUAGUUGGUAGGGUAAUAGCCUACCAAGGCAAUGACGGGUAGGGGACCUGAGAGGGUGGCCCCCCACAAUGGAACUGAAACACGGUCCAUACACCUACGGGUGGCAGCAGUAGGGAAUAUUAGAAAUGGGCGAAAGCCUGAUCUAGCAACACCGCGUGUGCGAUGAAGGCCUUCGGGUUGUAAAGCACUUUUUGGAGGGAAUAGGAAGGAAGGUACCUCCAGAAUAAGUCUCGGCUAACUACGUGCCAGCAGCCGCGGUAACACGUAGGAGGCAAACGUUAUCCGGAUUCACUGGGCGUAAAGCGCGUGUAGGUGGUUCUGUAAGUAGGGCGUGAAAGCUCCCGGCUCAACUGGGAGAGGCCGUACUAAACUGCAGAGCUAGAGGAUGGUAGAGGGAGGUGGAAUUCCAGGUGUAGUGGUGAAAUGCGCAGAUACCUGGAGGAACACCAGUGGCGAAGGCGGCCUCCUGGACCAUUCCUGACACUCAGACGCGAAAGCUAGGGUAGCAAACGGAAUGAGAGACUCCGGUAGCCCUAGCCCUAAACGAUGCAGACUAGGGGUCGGCGGUUUAAUCACCGUCGGUGUCCAAAGCUAACGCGAUAAGUCUGCCGCCUGAGGAGUACGGCCGCAAGGCUAAAACUCAAAGGAAUUGACGGGUCCCCGCACAAGCAGCGGAGCGUGUGGUUUAAUUCGAUGCUCCGCGAAGAACCUUACCUGGGUUUGACAUAACAGUGGUAGAGAAGUGAAAACGGAUCGACCCUUCGGGGAGCUGUUACAGGUGUUGCAUGCCUGUCGUCAGCUCGUGUCGUGAGAUGUUCGGUUAAGUCCGCUAACGAGCGCAACCCGCGCUGUGUGUUACAAGUGUCACACAGUACCGCCGGUAUUAAGUCGGAGGAAGGUGCGGAUGACGUCAAGUCAGCAUGACCUUUAUGUCCAGGGCUACACACACGCUACAAUGGUCAGAACAAUAGGUUGCCAAGCCGCAAGGCGGAGCCAAUCCUCCAAAUCUGGCCUCAGUUCAGAUUGCAGGCUGCAACUCGCCUGCAUGAAGUCGGAGUUGCUAGUAACCGCAGGUCAGCAUACUGCGGUGAAUAAAAUCCCGGGGAUUGUACACACCGCCCGUCA
This 1370-nucleotide ribosomal RNA is filed under the name uncultured bacterium. RNAcentral describes it as "16S ribosomal RNA". It matches the Rfam family "Bacterial small subunit ribosomal RNA". The record is from RNAcentral.